CUACCCUGGUGGACCGCCAUAACCUCGGGGAACUGAGGCUAAUAGCGGAUAGCGCUCUCGAGCUGGAACAGCCGGGAGCGUGAAACGUUCCGGCGCCACAGGAUGUGACUGCGGCCGAUUAGGUAGAUGGUGGGGUAACGGCCCACCAUGCCGAUAAUCGGUACGGGUUGUGAGAGCAAGAGCCCGGAGACGGACUCUGAGACAAGAGUCCGGGCCCUACGGGGCGCAGCAGGCGCGAAACCUUUACACUGCGCGACAGCGCGAUAGGGGGACACCGAGUGCGAGGGCAUAGAGCCCUCGCUUUUGUGUACCGUAAGGUGGUACACGAAUAAGGGCUGGGCAAGACCGGUGCCAGCCGCCGCGGUAACACCGGCAGCCCAAGUGAUGGCCGCUAUUAUUGGGCCUAAAGCGUCCGUAGCCGGCCGUUCAGGUCCGUCGGGAAAUCCACUGGCUCAACCAGUGGGCGUCCGGCGGAAACCGUUCGGCUUGGGACAGGGAGACCAGAGGGGUACGUCCGGGGUAGGAGUGAAAUCCCGUAAUCCUGGACGGACCAUCGGUGGCGAAAGCGCCUCUGGAGAACUGAUCCGACGGUGAGGGACGAAAGCUAGGGUCUCGAACCGGAUUAGAUACCCGGGUAGUCCUAGCCGUAAACGAUGCUCGCUAGGUGUGGCGC
Molecule: ribosomal RNA, 673 nt
Filed under: uncultured archaeon
Lineage: Archaea
Description: bacterial SSU rRNA
Rfam family: Archaeal small subunit ribosomal RNA
Source: RNAcentral